AUCGCUUCUCAGCCUUUUGGCUACGAUCAAGUGUAGUAUCUGUUCUUAUCAGUUUACUAUCUGAUAUGUCGAGGACAAUAUAUUAAGUGGAUUUUUGGAAUUAGGAGAUGGAAUAAGGAGCUUGCUCCGUCCACUCCACUCCACGCAUCCACCUGGUACUGCAGUACCUCCAGGAAGGGUGCACCAAAA
Small nuclear RNA from Eptesicus fuscus (big brown bat), 189 nucleotides. RefSeq annotates it as U2 spliceosomal RNA. The record is from RefSeq and is a predicted model, not a curated record. Lineage: Eukaryota; Metazoa; Chordata; Mammalia; Chiroptera; Vespertilionidae. The transcript has a single exon.